GUACCCAUGGUGUCUUGGUUAUCACAUCCGCCUGACACGCGGAAGAGUCCAGGUUCGAAACCUGGUGGGUACA
Non-coding RNA from Trichonephila clavipes, 73 nucleotides. The record is from the annotation of a GenBank genome assembly. NCBI's taxonomy places the organism in Eukaryota, Metazoa, Arthropoda, Arachnida, Araneae, Nephilidae.